GGAUGUGAGGGCGAUCUGGCUGCGACAUCUGCCACCCCAUUGAUCGCCAGGGUUGAUUCGGCUGAUCUGGCUGGCUAGGCGGGUGUCCCCUUCCUCCCUCACCGCUCCAUGUGCGUCCCUCCCGAAGCUGCGCGCUCGGUGGAAGAGGACGACCAUCCCAGAUAGAAGGAGUGUACCGUUCUUCGGUCAAGGGUAUACGAUAGCUGCGCUCCCCUGCUAGAACCUCCAAACAAGCUCAAGAGAACCACUGCUUUAAAGGUUCUUAUCCUUGCCAGCACCUCCAGUAUUUCAAGAAGAGCAUACU
Molecule: non-coding RNA, 304 nt
Organism: Podarcis lilfordi (Lilford's wall lizard)
Lineage: Eukaryota; Metazoa; Chordata; Lepidosauria; Squamata; Lacertidae
Source: the annotation of a GenBank genome assembly